Schistocerca gregaria is the source of this 317-nucleotide long non-coding RNA. RefSeq lists it as uncharacterized. The transcript is spliced from 3 exons. Lineage: Eukaryota; Metazoa; Arthropoda; Insecta; Orthoptera; Acrididae. The record is from RefSeq and is a predicted model, not a curated record.
CAACCACCCCUCCUAGACACCACUGCCGGUGCAGCCCACUGCUCCGAGAACCUUCAAAUACGCGCGUGUGGACUGGCGGACUUCACCAGGAACAGCUGCUCGUGUUUCCAGCGGCUCCGAUUGCUUUCUACUCGCGAAAUGCUCGUCGACAUUCCGGCGAGAGUACUCGACGGUUCUCCACCUGACAAGACAGCGAUGUGUGCCGGGGAUGUAUAACCAACAGGACUUGAUGUGGAGUGCAUCAACAGACGACAGAAGAGGGGAAGGUGCGAUGUGUGACCUGGUAUGCAGAAUGCAAAUCCGUGACAACGGCAGUG